UGCAAACUGAGGACAUCAUAGGUAAUGGAGUUGCAUGGAGUUGGAGCUGUGCUGGCUCUCCCAGCUGCUCGUUUUCUUUUGUUUUCAAUACAAGAAAGCUCACACAUGGUGCAGUGCAUCUGAGAUGCACAGUUUUGGAAAGGAAAGUGCAAUUGUUUGAUACUUUCUCAUCCUUAAUUCUUGAUUCUUCUUUGCCCACGUUGCGUCUCUCCCUAUUUCUUUUUCACACUCCAAGCCCCCCUGAGCAGCUGAGAACACUACCAAUGGGCCUUACAGCUCCUUAUUCUAUUUUCCUCCCUCCCAAACCCUUCUCAGUUGGUUCCACUGAAGGAUCCAGCUCCAGCUCUCAGGGCUCCUUCAUCCCUUAUGGACCCCAGGCCACCAGUGACUGCCUCCCCCAUCCCAGCCCCCAAUUAAUGAACUUCUUUGGGGAUCCAAGUCCCAAAUUCCAGUUGUUUAUUUUUCCAUACAAGCUCCAGAGAAGGAUGGUUGUUGCUGGUCAACGCCUCCCACCCAGGCCAGGGUCCUAAUGCAGACCUGGACCCAUUCAUUGCCAUCUUACCCUUGGGGAACAGAGGACAACCAAUUGGCUGAGAUCCAAUCCAUGUCCCUUGGUGGCACAGCUGCUGAAUUUCAGGGCUGCAGUCUCUCUCAGGAGCCUCUCUCUCUAUGCUUCCCCCCAGUCACGGAACAGCGGGCAGCAGGGGGAUGUGGAUGGAGCCCGACGCCUGGGCCGCAUGGCCCGCCUGCUCAGCAUCGUCUCCAUCGUGCUGGGGACCAUCAUCAUCGUGCUCUACGUCUCGCUCAGCGUCCGAGCUUCCUAGAAGACGUAGCAUGCAAAUACCUCGAAGAGGAGGAAGACAGCGCUCCUUUUGGGGUUUUUUUACUUUCAGCCUUGCAACAAAAACUUGUGACAGCGGAGCCCAUCUGGAGGAAUGUGCGUGGCUGCUCCACUGCCUUCUGGGGACAAGAGGGGAUGGGCACACGGCAAGGGGAUGAGGGACAAGAACUGGAUGUGAGCAGAGAGGAGAAGGGGAAAUCCACUACCUCAUUCCCCUCCAACAGGGCGGGGAGACCACGCAGGAGGAUGGACAGAAGGAGGAGGAGGGAGAUUCCAGACCGAAGCUUAUUUGAAGAAAAAUCUAAGGGCGGACCGCGGCAUUUUGAGGAAUCCUCCUAAGGACUUUGGCACUGUCGUUUUGGGGGAUUUGUUGGUUUUUAAAUCAUCGAAUUCUGUCUCUGCAAAAACAAACAAACAAACAAAAAAAAAAACACCCAAAAGCUCAAACUGCCACCGGGAACGGAGCGGUGUUCCAUGCAUGAGGAGGGCGAGCUGCAGAGCGCGGCGGUGCUUGGAGAUGCGGUGGGUGCUUUUGUAUUUUUGAUGAAAAAAAAAAAAAAAGACAAACAAAAAAGAGACAAUGACCAUUUGCAUGCCUUUGGGAAUGUUCUCCGUGUCUGCUCAUCCAUCCACGCCCCUCCAUCGCUCGCAGAUGUCAGGGCUGGCAGAGCAGGGCGCUGCUGCAUGGGAGCGCAGCGCUAACGGAAGGGAUCACGCUUUCUCUGUGCAACCACACGUUUCCUUCUCCAUGCACCCAAAGUGAGGUGAAUGCCACCGGCGCUGAGCACAGGUCCUGGUUAACCCACAGAGGCGGCACUGAGGAGCAGAGCCCUCCUACCUGCUGGGUCGUAUUCGUCACACAGGAGCUGCAGCAAGAUCCGGCCCUACGACCAUGCUCAUCUCCCCUCACCUCUUUGGGCUCCAACUGAGGGCUGCAGGGGACCUUCAGAGGGAUGGAGGAGUUCAGAAUCGUGCUCUUCUCAUUACCCCUCUUCUGCAUCUCGGACACCUCCAGCACCACUGGAGCGUGCUGGGCUCGGGUCCAUGAGUAUUAUUAUUUUUUAACAUUUUGUAUUUAACAACAUGUAAAGAAUGCUGACUUUUUGCUCCCCAUGAUUGUCCCAAGCCCCGCUGCUCCUAGCCAAGUCUUCCACGCCAUGCAGCCCCAUCCGACCUCCUUGUUCCCACUGUGGGCUGAUGCUGGUGUUGGCAUUUCAUUUGGCCAUGCAGAUUGAGCAAAGUUCCCAUUGCUGUACGUUUGCAGAUGGCUCCUGGCUGUGCCCAUUGGCUUUGCGUUGGCCAAGCCUUCCUUUUAGCAAAACUUUGCUGGCACAAUUCC
Molecule: long non-coding RNA, 2180 nt
Filed under: Chrysolophus pictus (golden pheasant)
Lineage: Eukaryota; Metazoa; Chordata; Aves; Galliformes; Phasianidae
Description: lncRNA (ENSCPIG00010013085.1)
Source: RNAcentral